GUCAAUAUUAAGUUCAACAGUAACUAUGUUGUUGAUUUUUGUUUAAUAACUUACAAUAAAUAGGAGUUUUAAACAAACGCGCGUCGUAGUAGCUG
Priapulus caudatus is the source of this 95-nucleotide long non-coding RNA. RefSeq lists it as uncharacterized. The transcript is spliced from 3 exons. Lineage: Eukaryota; Metazoa; Priapulida; Priapulimorpha; Priapulimorphida; Priapulidae. The record is from RefSeq and is a predicted model, not a curated record.